RNAcentral lists this long non-coding RNA (538 nucleotides) under Pectinophora gossypiella (pink bollworm). Its description in RNAcentral is "uncharacterized LOC126376130". The record is from RNAcentral. Lineage: Eukaryota; Metazoa; Arthropoda; Insecta; Lepidoptera; Gelechiidae.
AUUUCGUUCAUUUUCAUUUCUCGCUCGCUGGGCACCUACGUCGAUGUCGUAGGUUUUAUAAUUAACAAUUAAUUUAAUAAUUAGUUUAAUAGACUUUCAACUUACUGAAAAUGAAGCUUCAAAGUCGCAUUACCACUACAUCCAGCUACAAUCAAGAAAUCAAAUCACAGAAAAUGGACAUUAAAGUGAGCUGAAAGAACAAAAAUGUACAGAAUGUAAAAUGGAUUCAUUGAGAAAAAACCAGCAAGACAAUACAGCAAAGAAUCUGACCCCAGAAGACAAUACACCUGAUUAAGAUCAUGAAGGCAUUCCAACUAUAUAUCUACAAGGGUCCUACCGGCUAAUUCGCUGAACAUCAGAGACUAAAAAUGAUUCAGAUAAAUCGAAGUUUAGCAUUUGGUAUUGGCUAAUUUUCGAUAUAGGUCAUGAAGAAAAAUUUUAAAUAUUUUGAGAAAAUAUUGACCAAAACCAGACAUUUAAAAAAUAAUCAUGAAAAAAAUACUUAUCUGGGAUAGCAAAUAAAAACUGGCGAAAUUAA